RNAcentral lists this ribosomal RNA (40 nucleotides) under Gastrolobium epacridoides. The record is from RNAcentral. Lineage: Eukaryota; Viridiplantae; Streptophyta; Magnoliopsida; Fabales; Fabaceae.
UGUGCAUGCCUGAUCAUACCAGCACUAAUGCACCGGAUCC